GCCUAGACGUAAACAAUUUAUUUACAUACUUUAACGCCCGGGUAUUACGAGCAUUGCUUAAAACCCAAAGGACUUGACGGUGUCUCACCCACCUAGAGGAGCCUGUUCUAUAAUCGAUAACCCCCGCUUUACCUAACCAUUCUUUGCCUAAUCAGUCUGUAUACCUCCGUCGGAAGCUUACCAUAUGAACGCCCAUAGUAAGCCCAAUGGUCACCCACCAACACGUCAGGUCAAGGUGCAACUUAUAGGAUGGAAAGAAAUGGGCUACAAUUUCUAAAUUAGAACAAACGAAAGGCUGUCUGAAACCCCCAGUCAUGAAGGAGGAUCUAGUAGUAAAAGGGGAAUAGAGAGCUCCUUUUAACCUGGCACUGAGACGCGUACACACCGCCCGUCACCCUCUUCAAUAGUUAUUCGUCUAGAUUAUUAACAAAUUAACCACGCCUU
Molecule: ribosomal RNA, 444 nt
Filed under: Meristogenys orphnocnemis (Sabah Borneo frog)
Lineage: Eukaryota; Metazoa; Chordata; Amphibia; Anura; Ranidae
Description: partial 12S rRNA
Rfam family: Bacterial small subunit ribosomal RNA
Source: RNAcentral